RNAcentral lists this long non-coding RNA (523 nucleotides) under Carica papaya (papaya). RNAcentral's name for it is "long non-coding RNA (CPAP_LNC005277)". The record is from RNAcentral. Lineage: Eukaryota; Viridiplantae; Streptophyta; Magnoliopsida; Brassicales; Caricaceae.
CUCUAGACAUGACUGAGGAGCAGAAGGUUCCUCUUGCGAGUUUUGUUCUUGUUGGUGAGGUAGAACACUGGUGGCGUUUAAAAAAAGACGUUUUACCCGUUCCUAUCACCUAGGAUAGAUUUUUGGAUGCCUUUUAUCAUAACUUCUUUUCGAUAUGGGUUUGAGAGAAGAAAGAAGAUGAAUUCCUAGAGUUUAAGUAGGGUAGUAUGGCAGUUAGUGUUGCUACAAAGUUUGUCCAACUCUCCAUAUUUGCACUGAAAUUGGUCUCCACUUAGGCCAAGAAGGCCUGGCAUUUUCUAAAGGGUCUAAGAGCUAGCAUAUAUGAUUGUGUGGUCAUGUUUAAGCCAAGUACUUAUGUAAAGGUCCUUGAGAAUGUCUAGUUAGAAUAGGAGUUACUUACUAUUAGAUUCAAACAGGCCAGUGGUUCUCGGUUUUCUGAUAAUCUGAAAAGGAAAUAGCCAGUUCAGGGUCCAAUUGAUAAGUGACCAAGAAUUACUCUUAUUACUACCCCACCAUCAUCAGU